RNAcentral lists this ribosomal RNA (253 nucleotides) under uncultured bacterium. RNAcentral's name for it is "partial 16S ribosomal RNA". It matches the Rfam family "Bacterial small subunit ribosomal RNA", at positions 524 to 776 of the family's 1533-position model. The record is from RNAcentral.
UACGUAGGGUGCAAGCGUUGUCCGGAAUUAUUGGGCGUAAAGAGCUCGUAGGCGGUCUGUCGCGUCUGCUGUGAAAACUCAGGGCUUAACCCUGAGCUUGCAGUGGGUACGGGCAGACUAGAGUGCGGUAGGGGAGACUGGAAUUCCUGGUGUAGCGGUGAAAUGCGCAGAUAUCAGGAGGAACACCGGUGGCGAAGGCGAGUCCCUGGACAACUCCUGACACUGAGGCACGAAAGCUAGGGGAGCAAACAGG